AGCAGCCGCGGUAAUUCCAGCUCCAAUAGCGUAUAUUAAAGUUGUUGCAGUUAAAAGCUCGUAGUUGAAUUUCGGGGUCAGUAGGUUGGUCAUGCCACUGGUAUGUACUGGUCUCACUGAUUCCUCCUUCCUGAUGAGCCGUAAUGCCAUUAAUUUGGUGUUGCGAGGAAUCUGGACUGUUACUUUGAAAAAAUUGAGUGUUUAAAGCAGGCUAACGCUUGAAUACAUUAGCAUGGAAUAAUGAAAUAGGACGUUCGAUCUUAUUUUGUUGGUUUCUAAGAUUGACGUAAUGAUUAAUAGGGAUAGUUGGGGGCAUUAGUAUUCAAUUGUCAGAGGUGAAAUUCUUGGAUUUAUUGAAGACUAACUACUGCGAAAGCGUUUGCCAAGGAUGUUUUCAUUAAUCAAGAACGAAAGUUAGGGGAUCGAAGACGAUCAGAUACCGUCGUAGUCUUAACCAUAAACUAUGCCGACUAGGGAUCGGAUGAUGUUAAUUUUUUAAUGACUCAUUC
Molecule: ribosomal RNA, 509 nt
Filed under: uncultured Glomus
Lineage: Eukaryota; Fungi; Glomeromycota; Glomeromycetes; Glomerales; Glomeraceae
Description: SSU rRNA
Rfam family: Eukaryotic small subunit ribosomal RNA
Source: RNAcentral